UGUCUACUCGUCCUUGAGAGCGUCAGC
RNAcentral lists this non-coding RNA (27 nucleotides) under Mus musculus (house mouse). The record is from RNAcentral. Lineage: Eukaryota; Metazoa; Chordata; Mammalia; Rodentia; Muridae.